RNAcentral lists this ribosomal RNA (253 nucleotides) under uncultured bacterium. RNAcentral describes it as "partial 16S ribosomal RNA". It matches the Rfam family "Bacterial small subunit ribosomal RNA", at positions 524 to 776 of the family's 1533-position model. The record is from RNAcentral.
UACGAAGGGGGCUAGCGUUGCUCGGAAUCACUGGGCGUAAAGCGCACGUAGGCGGCUUUUUAAGUCAGGGGUGAAAUCCUGGAGCUCAACUCCAGAACUGCCUUUGAUACUGAGAAGCUUGAGUCCGGGAGAGGUGAGUGGAACUGCGAGUGUAGAGGUGAAAUUCGUAGAUAUUGGGAGGAACACCAGUGGCGAAGGCGGCUAUCUGGACGAACACUGACGCUGAGACACGAAAGCGUGGGGAGCAAACAGG